Molecule: long non-coding RNA, 623 nt
Filed under: Homo sapiens (human)
Lineage: Eukaryota; Metazoa; Chordata; Mammalia; Primates; Hominidae
Description: HSALNT0304474
Source: RNAcentral
CGUAACUUCCGUCUUGCCAGCCCAUUCUCUCUAAUGACUGUCUCCCUCGCUGGAUGUGAUGAAGUAGGCUACAUUAUGCAGCACCCCAUGAAACAAAGAAUUGAGUGUGACCACCAGGCAACAUCUGGCAAGGAACUGAGUUCCAACAGUGCACAAGGAAGUGAAUCCUGACAACAGUCCCAAGAGCUUAGGAGUGAAUCCUUCUCCACUCCAGCCUCAGAUAAGUCUUGCCCUUAAUUGCAGCCUCAUGAAAGACUCUGAAACCUUGGGCCCAGUUUUUUUAAAUGAUCUCAAGGUGGAUUAAAGACUUAAACUGUAAAACUCCCAGGAGAAAACAUACAGAGGAUCCUUCAUUAUAUUGGUAUUGGCAGUGAUUUAUUGGAUAUGAUGCCAAAAGCACAGUACACAAAAACAAAAACAGAAUACAGCAACGGAACAAUUAACAGAGUGAAAAAGUAACCUGUGGAAUGGGAAAAUGGGAAUGCUGUUCUGCAUAGCAACGGAACAAUUGGCAGAGUGAAAAGUUUCUUGCAGCUUGGUGUGGUGGAUCUCACCUGUAAUCCCAGGACUUUGGGAGGCCGAGGCAAGAGGAUUGCUUGAGACCAGGAGAUGAAGACCAGCCU